GGGCCCGCACAAGCGGUGGAGCAUGUGGUUUAAUUCGAUGAUACGCGAGGAACCUUACCAGGACUUAAAUGCAUAACGAUCGGUUGAGAAAUCAACUUUUCUUCGGACGGUAUGCAAGGUGCUGCAUGGUUGUCGUCAGCUCGUGCCGUGAGGUGUCAGGUUAAGUCCUAUAACGAGCGCAACCCCUAUUCUUAGUUGCCAGCGGAUAAUGCCGGGGACUCUAAGAAAACUGCCAGCGCAAGCUGUGAGGAAGGUGGGGAUGACGUCAAAUCAUCACGGCCCUUACGUCCUGGGCCACACACGUGCUACAAUGGUAGGUACAAAGGGCAGCCACUUGGCGACAAGGAGCUAAUCUCUAAAACCUAUCUCAGUUCGGAUUGGAGUCUGCAACUCGACUCUAUGAAGCUGGAAUCGCUAGUAAUCGCGCAUC
RNAcentral lists this ribosomal RNA (430 nucleotides) under uncultured bacterium. RNAcentral's name for it is "bacterial SSU rRNA". It matches the Rfam family "Bacterial small subunit ribosomal RNA", at positions 917 to 1350 of the family's 1533-position model. The record is from RNAcentral.